RNAcentral lists this ribosomal RNA (426 nucleotides) under uncultured bacterium. Its description in RNAcentral is "bacterial SSU rRNA". It matches the Rfam family "Bacterial small subunit ribosomal RNA", at positions 28 to 424 of the family's 1533-position model. The record is from RNAcentral.
GAUGAACGCUGGCGGCGUGCAUAACACAUUCAAGUCGAACGGAGUUAUUUCAAUUAAUCCUUCGGGAAGCGUUGAGAUAACUUAGUGGCGGACGGGUGAGUAACGCGUGAGAAACCUGCCUCUCAGUGGGGGACAACAGUUGGAAACGACUGCUAAUACCGCAUAACACUUUAGUACCGCAUGGUACAGAAGUCAAAGCUUAAUGUGCUGAGAGAUGGUCUCGCGUCUGAUUAGCUAGAUGGCGGGGUAACGGCCCACCAUGGCGACGAUCAGUAGCCGGUCUGAGAGGAUGAACGGCCACAUUUGGGGACUGAGAUACGGCCCAGACUCCUACGGGAGGCAGCAGUUGGGGGAAUAAUUUCGGGCGAAUAGGGGGGAAACCCGUACGACCCACGCAACGCCGCGUGAAGGAAGAAGGCCUCGGUU